Molecule: RNA transcript, 3125 nt
Organism: Loxodonta africana (African savanna elephant)
Lineage: Eukaryota; Metazoa; Chordata; Mammalia; Proboscidea; Elephantidae
Gene: RNASEH2B
Gene name: ribonuclease H2 subunit B
Exons: 12
Source: RefSeq, a predicted model, not a curated record
UACCACUGGCCGAGUAUCGGAGGGGAGAGAUCGCGGCCCCUUCCUCCUGCCGGCUGGUAGUGCGUCGGUACUACGGCCGCCUCGGCCUGGCGCUAAACUUAAAAAUGACGCCAGGGAAGUGCUGAGCACCAGCAGCCGACCAGCCCCGGAAACGAAACCAAAUUCGUACCGCGGGCCGCUUCCUAGCUCUCCCAGACCCUUGGCGCGCCGCGCUACCCGGAAUAGACCCUUCUCCCGCCAUUUUCGGCUUGUUCUCAGUCGGGACCCGCGCGCAGCCGGCCCCGCGCUCCAAGAGCUGAGGCUCGCGGCUCCGGGGCUCGCCCCGCGUGGUGCUCGUGUCCCGGGAUCGGCGGGCAGCAUGGCCGCCGCCGUGGACUCUGGGGACGGGCUUCACGCCCGGCAGUACGUGUUCCUGCUUCCAGGCCUGCCCAAUCUUUGUCUGAAAAGUGGACUUCGGGGAUGGUUUCAGUUCUGGGUUAGCAGGGUGUCCAGGAGCCAUAGUCUUGGGGGUUCUUCCAGUCUCCGUCAGACCGAAUAUUUGAAAGAUGCUUCAAAGAAGAUGAAAAGUGGGCUUAUGUUUGUAAAGUUGGUUAACCCAUGUUCAGGGGAAGGAGCCAUUUACCUGUUCGAUAUGUGUCUACAGCAGCUGUUUGAGAUAAAAAUUUUCAAGGAGAAACACCGUUCUUGGUUCAUAAACCAAUCAGUUCAGUCAGAAGGUCAUCUCCACUUUGCUACACCAAUGGACCCAUUAUUUCUGGUUCUCCACUAUCUUAUGAAGGCUGAUAAAGAGGGAAAAUUCCAGCCUCUAGAUCAAGUUGUGAUGGAUGACACGUUUCCGAAUUGCACCCUGUUGCUGAAACUUCCUGAGCUUGAGAAGUUCCUUGGUCAUGUAACAGAGGAAAAAGAAAUAGACAGCAAAAAAUAUUACAAGUACAGCAAAGAGAAGACACUGAAGUGGCUGGAAAAAAAGGUGAAUCAGACUAUGGUGGCGUUAAAAACCAAUAAAAUAAAUGUUGGCGCCCGGGUCCAGUCCGCUGUAUUUUUCCCCAGUGACCAGAUGUCCAGUAAUAGGGAAGAGGAUUACAUUCGUUAUGCCCAUGGUCUGAUAUCUGAUUACAUUCCUAAAGAAUUAAGUGAUGACUUAUCUAAACACUUAAAGCUUUCACAGCCUUCAGCUUCAUUGCCAAACCCUCCAUCAAAGGGACUCCAGAGAGUGGAGAAGCCAGUCAUGAGCCACACCUCAUCUCAAAAUGAAGUAUCAUUCAGCCCAGGCCAGAUCUCAGAUGAGUCGGCGCUGCUCAGAGACAGGAAGUAAGCUUGUCAGUGAGGUCAUUCUCCUUGCGCCUACUGCAGCCAGUGAAAUCAUGGUGGCCCUGAGAACGUGAAGGACAUGUCACGGAUGUUCAACAGCGUCCCUUCCCCAUGUAUUCAUCCCUUGUGUGUCAAGGUCGCCAACAUACCCAGCACUUUUUUUGAAUCAUGUCUUGUUUGGAGGUGAUGGAGCCUCCAAAAACACUUACUACUUUGACUUUUAGAAAAGGACUACUAAGUUUUUAAAAUCUUCGUUGUGACUUUUGGACCAUUUUCAGCAGGUUGUCAAAGGAGCCCCAAUGUUUACCCUCAAAAAAUAGCACCAGGAAGAAAUGAGAUGCUGUAAGAUACAGUAAAGCCUCUGAAAGACAGAACCUGUGUAAGGCAGAAACCUAUCAGGGAAGGAAAACUCAAAUAUUUUCCACUAAUUCAAGAGUGAUAGAGAAGUGGUGACCGUGCCCUGUAAAAAGCAGAAGACUUUCAAGAGCCGGAAAAACAAGGCAGUCUCAUCAAGUUCCAGCUAUCACAAAUUUCACUGUAUAAGAAAACUACCUCUGGGUUGGACCUGCCAGCCUCCAACCUAGUAGUUAAAUCUCCAGUUGUAGCAGUAAAAACCAAACCAAACCCUCUGGGUGCACACGGCCACACCUUUCUCCCUCGGAGCAGCUGGUCCAGUUGUAGCAGUAAAAACCAAACCAAACCCUCUGGAUGCAGACGGCCACACCUUUCUCCCUCGGAGCAGCUGGUCCAGUUGUAGCAGUAAAAACCAAACCAAACCCUCUGGGUGCACACGGCCACACCUUUCUCCCUCGGAGCAGCUGGUCCAGUUGUAGCAGUAAAAACCAAACCAAACCCUCUGGAUGCAGACGGCCACACCUUUCUCCCUCGGAGCAGCUGGUCCAGUUGUAGCAGUAAAAACCAAACCAAACCCUCUGGAUGCAGACGGCCACACCUUUCUCCCUCGGAGCAGCUGGUCCAGUUGUAGCAGUAAAAACCAAACCAAACCCUCUGGAUGCAGACGGCCACACCUUUCUCCCUCGGAGCAGCUGGUCCAGCUGUAGCAGUAAAAACCAAACCAAACCCUCUGGGUGCACACGGCCACACCUUUCUCCCUCGGAGCAGCUGGUCCAGUUGUAGCAGUAAAAACCAAACCAAACCCUCUGGGUGCACACGGCCACACCUUUCUCCCUCAGAGCAGCUGGUCCAGUUGUAGCAGUAAAAACCAAACCAAACCCUCUGGAUACAGACGGCCACACCUUUCUCCCUCGGAGCAGCUGGUCCAGUUGUAGCAGUAAAAACCAAACCAAACCCUCUGGGUGCACACGGCCACACCUUUCUCCCUCGGAGCAGCUGGUCCAGUUGUAGCAGUAAAAACCAAACCAAACCCUCUGGAUGCAGACGGCCACACCUUUCUCCCUCGGAGCAGCUGGUCCAGUUGUAGCAGUAAAAACCAAACCAAACCCUCUGGGUGCACACGGCCACACCUUUCUCCCUCGGAACAGCUGGUCCAGUUGUAGCAGUAAAAACCAAACCAAACCCUCUGGAUACAGACGGCCACACCUUUCUCCCUCGGAGCAGCUGGUCCAGUUGUAGCAGUAAAAACCAAACCAAACCCUCUGGAUGCAGAUGGCCACACCUUUCUCCCUCGGAGCAGCUGGUCCAGUUGUAGCAGUAAAAACCAAACCAAACCCUCUGGAUGCAGACGGCCACACCUUUCUCCUUCGGAGCAGCUGAAAAUAAAGUUGUCUGAUGAGCCUGUAGAAGCAAAAGAAGAUUAUACUAAGUUUAACACUAAAGAUUUGAAGACCGAAAAG